Molecule: ribosomal RNA, 492 nt
Filed under: uncultured bacterium
Lineage: Bacteria
Description: partial 16S ribosomal RNA
Rfam family: Bacterial small subunit ribosomal RNA
Source: RNAcentral
AGUGAACGCUGGCGGUAGGCCUAACACAUGCAAGUCGAACGGCAGCACAGUAAGAGCUUGCUCUUACGGGUGGCGAGUGGCGGACGGGUGAGGAAUACAUCGGAAUCUACUUUUUCGUGGGGGAUAACGUAGGGAAACUUACGCUAAUACCGCAUACGACCUACGGGUGAAAGCAGGGGAUCUUCGGACCUUGCGCGACUGAAUGAGCCGAUGUCGGAUUAGCUAGUUGGCGGGUUAAAGGCCCACCACGGCGACGAUCCGUAGCUGGUCUGAGAGGAUGAUCAGCCACACGGGAACGGAGACACGGUCCAUACUCCUACGGGAGGCACCAGUGGGGAAUAUUGGACAAUGGGCGCAAGCCUGAUGCAGCCAUACCGCGUGGGUGAAGAAGGCCUUCGGGUUGUAAAGCCCUUUUGUUGGGAAAGAAAAGCAGCAGGUUAAUACCCCGCUGUUCUGACGGUACCCAAAGAAUAAGCACCGGCUAACUUCGUG